Molecule: ribosomal RNA, 306 nt
Filed under: Triticum aestivum (bread wheat)
Lineage: Eukaryota; Viridiplantae; Streptophyta; Magnoliopsida; Poales; Poaceae
Description: partial small subunit ribosomal RNA
Source: RNAcentral
AUGCGUCGCAUGAAGCACCGAAAAGGGUCAGCAUCCUCCAUCGAGUUCCAUGCGCUUGCCACAACCUCUUGGAAACCGGCAAGACGCGUCCAAUACUCCUCGAAGUGGAACCGGCGAUGCACCUUAGGCAUUGGCGAGCAGUCAAGCAUGAGAGGUGAGUGGUCUGAGACGACCAUGGCCAAACAGUGUAGGUGGCAUUCGCCGUCUAGCUCCUCCCAGUAUGCGGAGCACAUCACCCGAUCGAGAUGGACCAAGGUAGGCAGGUUCUACCCGUUCGACCAAGUACAGCACCGGCCAUUGAGGUAG